AUUGAACGCUGGCGGCAGGCUUAACACAUGCAAGUCGAACGAGUGGCGGACGGGUGAGUAAUGAUUGGGAAUAUAGCUGAUGGAGGGGGAUAAGUACGGGAAACUGUAGCUACUACCGCGUACCAUAGGAUGAGCCCAAGUGGGAUUAGGUAGUUGGUGGGGUAAAGGCUCACCAAGCCGACGAUCUCUAGCUGGUCUGAGAGGAUGACCAGCCACACUGGGACUGAGACACGGCCCAGACUCCUACGGGAGGCAGCAGUGGGGAAUAUUGCGCAAUGGGCGCAAGCCUGACGCAGUCAUGCCGCGUGAAUGAAGAAGGCCUUCGGGUUGUAAAGGACUUUUGUCAGGGAAGCGGUACCUGAAGAAUAAGCACCGGCUAACUACGUGCCAGCAGCCGCGGUAAUUC
Molecule: ribosomal RNA, 406 nt
Filed under: uncultured bacterium
Lineage: Bacteria
Description: partial 16S ribosomal RNA
Rfam family: Bacterial small subunit ribosomal RNA
Source: RNAcentral